Sinocyclocheilus grahami is the source of this 507-nucleotide long non-coding RNA. RefSeq lists it as uncharacterized. Lineage: Eukaryota; Metazoa; Chordata; Actinopteri; Cypriniformes; Cyprinidae. The transcript has 3 exons. The record is from RefSeq and is a predicted model, not a curated record.
UUGACCCUAAUUUCCUGUUCCUGUGGCCCAAUGCGAGAGUGUCGAUUUUGGCCCCAGGCCACUCGGAUGCAUUUGUGCAGAAUGAAGAGGAAAUCACACAGAUUAAUGAGAUGUUGGAGGAAGAGAGUUCAGCAUUCUUUUCCACCGGCAGACUGUGGGAUGAUGGUCUUCUUCUACCUCAAGACACCAGAAAGGUUUUGAGCAAGUGUCUGAAAAUCAUUAAGCAACAAGAGUAUCAAUUGUCCAGAGAGAAAAUGAGGACUCCUUUUCUUCGACUAUAACACUACCUCUGCAGAAACUUUAUAAACUUGUAUACGCUGUUUUAUUAAAGUAAUAAACUAACAGUGUUAGUUUUAAGCACAUAUCUUUAUUUUAAUGACAAUUUGCCUGUAAUCAGCAGUAGUGCCAUUAUUAUUGUGAUUUUCUGACUAAUGUAAAAUAAACCUGUUUGUACAUAUGGAAUUUUACUUCAGAUGAAAUCAUUGUUUAUAAAUGCUGAAGUAGAAU